AGUGAACGCUGGCGGUAGGCCUAACACAUGCAAGUCGAACGGCAGCACCGUAAGAGCUUGCUCUUACGGGUGGCGAGUGGCGGACGGGUGAGGAAUACCUCGGGAUCUACUUUUUCGUGGGGGAUAACGUAGGGAAACUUACGCUAAUACCGCAUACGACCUACUGGUGAAAGCAGGGGAUCUUCGGACCUUUCGCGAUUGAAUGAGCCGAUGGCGGAUUAGCUCGUUGGCGGGGUAAAGGCCCACCAAGGCGACGAUCCGUAGCUGGUCUGAGAGGAUGAUCAGCCACACUGGAACUGAGACAGGGUCCAGACUCCUACGGGAGGAAGCAGUGGGGAAUAUUGGACAAUGGGCGCAAGCCUGAUCCAGCCAUAGCGCGUGGGUGAAGAAGGCCUUCGGGUUGUAAAGCCCUUUUGUUGGGAAAGAAAAGCAGCAGGUUAAUACCCCGCUGUUCUGACGGUACCCAAAGAAUAAGCACCGGCUAACUUCGUG
Molecule: ribosomal RNA, 492 nt
Filed under: uncultured bacterium
Lineage: Bacteria
Description: partial 16S ribosomal RNA
Rfam family: Bacterial small subunit ribosomal RNA
Source: RNAcentral